GGCCUGGUGGUCUAGUAGUAUGAUUCCUUCUUAGGGUUCUGCCAUUUGGAGGAGGUCCCGGGUUCAAUUCCCGGCCAGGCCC
Molecule: transfer RNA, 82 nt
Filed under: Ganoderma leucocontextum
Lineage: Eukaryota; Fungi; Basidiomycota; Agaricomycetes; Polyporales; Polyporaceae
Description: tRNA-Pro
Rfam family: tRNA
About the family: Transfer RNA (tRNA) molecules are approximately 80 nucleotides in length. Their secondary structure includes four short double-helical elements and three loops (D, anti-codon, and T loops). Further hydrogen bonds mediate the characteristic L-shaped molecular structure. tRNAs have two regions of fundamental functional importance: the anti-codon, which is responsible for specific mRNA codon recognition, and the 3' end, to which the tRNAs corresponding amino acid is attached (by aminoacyl-tRNA synthetases). tRNAs cope with the degeneracy of the genetic code in two manners: having more than one tRNA (with a specific anti-codon) for a particular amino acid; and 'wobble' base-pairing, i.e. permitting non-standard base-pairing at the 3rd anti-codon position.
Source: RNAcentral